CACGGGGGGAGCAAGCGUUGUUCGGAAUCACUGGGCGUAAAGCGCGCGUAGGCGGCCACUUAAGUCAGAUGUGAAAGCCCCUGGCUCAACUAAAGAAGUACACCCGAAACUAAAUAGCUUGAGUGCGAAAGAGAAUCGCGGAAUUCCCGGUGUAGAGGUGAAAUUCGUAGAUAUCGGGAGGAACACCGAUGGCGAAGGCGGCGACCUAGGUCGACACUAACGUUGAGGCGCGAAAGCGUGGGGAGCAAACAGG
This 253-nucleotide ribosomal RNA is filed under the name uncultured bacterium. RNAcentral's name for it is "partial 16S ribosomal RNA". It matches the Rfam family "Bacterial small subunit ribosomal RNA", at positions 524 to 776 of the family's 1533-position model. The record is from RNAcentral.